GCUGCUGCCAAGCAUGUCAACAAAUGAGUGUGUGUAUUCUCCAACUGUCUCCUCACAUCCAUCACGCGUUUGUAGAAGUCCACCUUCCUGCUCACCCAUCAACAUGCCUACAGACAGCCAUGGAUGGCACUCCCUUUGAUAUGGUUUUGGUGUUCUGCUACAAUCACGCCAUGUGUGCAGAAUGGGAAGAAUGGGAAACCCUGCCGUUCCACAAAUCACUCCAAGAUUGAUUGUUUUUCUCUCUCAUCGUCUGCUGCACAGAUCCAGGGACUUAGGAGCUGGCUAUGGAGGAGGU
This is a long non-coding RNA of Etheostoma cragini (Arkansas darter), 295 nucleotides long. RefSeq lists it as uncharacterized. The record is from RefSeq and is a predicted model, not a curated record. The transcript has 4 exons. NCBI's taxonomy places the organism in Eukaryota, Metazoa, Chordata, Actinopteri, Perciformes, Percidae.